CCUACGGGGGGCUGCAGUGGGGAAUAUUGCACAAUGGGCGGAACCCUGAUGCAGCGACGCCGCGUGAGCGAUGAAGUAUUUCGGUAUGUAAAGCUCUAUCAGCCGGGGAGAAAAUGCCGGUACCUGACUAAGAAGCCCCGGCUAACUACGUUCCAGCAGCCGAGGUAAUACGGCGGGGGCCAGCGUUAUCCGGAUUUACUGGGUUUAAAGGGAGCGUAGACGGCUGUGCAAGUGUGGAGUGAAAGGCAUGGGCUCAACCUGUGGACUGCGUUGGAAACUGUGCGGCUUGAGUGUCGGAGAGGCAAGUGGAAUUCCUAGUGUAGCGGUGAAAUGCGUAGAUAUUAGGAGGAACACCAGUGGCGAAGGCGGCAUGCUGGACGAUGACUGACGCUGAGGCUCGAAAGCGUGGGGAGCAAACAGGAUUAGAUACCCCGGUAGUC
This 440-nucleotide ribosomal RNA is filed under the name uncultured bacterium. RNAcentral's name for it is "partial 16S ribosomal RNA". It matches the Rfam family "Bacterial small subunit ribosomal RNA", at positions 338 to 795 of the family's 1533-position model. The record is from RNAcentral.